RNAcentral lists this ribosomal RNA (634 nucleotides) under uncultured Bacillus sp. RNAcentral's name for it is "bacterial SSU rRNA". It matches the Rfam family "Bacterial small subunit ribosomal RNA", at positions 63 to 681 of the family's 1533-position model. The record is from RNAcentral. Lineage: Bacteria; Bacillati; Bacillota; Bacilli; Caryophanales; Bacillaceae.
CGAGGCGAUGGUAGCUUUGCUCCUGAUGUUAGCGGCGGACGGGUGAAGUAACACGUUGGGUAACCUGCCUGUAAGACUGGGAUAACUCCGGGAAACCGGGGCUAAUACCGGAGGGUUGUUUGAACCGCAUGGUUCAGACAUAAAAGGUGGCUUCGGCUACCACUUACAGAUGGACCCGCGGCGCAUUAGCUAGUUGGUGAGGUAACGGCUCACCAAGGCGACGAUGCGUAGCCGACCUGAGAGGGUGAUCGGCCACACUGGGACUGAGACACGGCCCAGACUCCUACGGGAGGCAGCAGUAGGGAAUCUUCCGCAAUGGACGAAAGUCUGACGGAGCAACGCCGCGUGAGUGAUGAAGGUUUUCGGAUCGUAAAGCUCUGUUGUUAGGGAAGAACAAGUGCCGUUCAAAUAGGGCGGCACCUUGACGGUACCUAACCAGAAAGCCACGGCUAACUACGUGCCAGCAGCCGCGGUAAUACGUAGGUGGCAAGCGUUGUCCGGAAUUAUUGGGCGUAAAGGGCUCGCAGGCGGUUUCUUAAGUCUGAUGUGAAAGCCCCCGGCUCAACCGGGGAGGGUCAUUGGAAACUGGGGAACUUGAGUGCAGAAGAGGAGAGUGGAAUUCCACGUGUAGCGU